This is a long non-coding RNA of Cyprinus carpio carpio, 1030 nucleotides long. NCBI's taxonomy places the organism in Eukaryota, Metazoa, Chordata, Actinopteri, Cypriniformes, Cyprinidae. The record is from Ensembl.
AUGGCUUUUCUCCAGAGUGCAUUCUUUUGUGUUUCAUUUCCUUCUCCCUCACAGAGAGAUAAGGGAGCAAUGACGCUUCACAGUGUGAGCACUUGUAAGGUCCGGCUUCAGUACAUGGAUUUGAUGGAUAGCUCACUCAGAUGUGCAAGAGUGAAGUUUUGCGUUGCUAUUGUUAUUGUGAAUGAUUCAUCUGUGCAUACUAUCACUUUUCACAGUCCAUGGGGAUCCCUAUUAAAAUGUUUAUAUAUUAACAGAGUUAGACAAAGCACACAACUAUUACUUGAGUGAAAUACAGAUACUGCCAAUCAAAUAUUACUCCAUUUUAAGUGAAAGGGCUAGGGCUAGGGCUAGGGGUCUUUCUAGGAAAGGCCAAUGUUUUUAUUUAUUUAUUUAAUAUUUUGUGAAAGUACAGAAUCACUGUUGCAGCAUGUAAUACUUGCAAUACUGUAUGCCUUUGAAGCAACUUGCAAUAUAUUACGCCUACUGAAUGCACUGUAGUAUCAUUGAAAUGAAUGUUAAAAACCUAUAGGAAGUGAUUACUGAUAGACUGUCUGAAAAGAAGAAAGUCACAUUUUCAGAGAAGAAAAAAUCACACUGGCUUUCAAAGCUGCUACAUAGAAACGACUUAAGGGUACAUAAGUACAGUAAUCAAGUAAAUGUACUUAUUUACUGUCCACAUCUGUAUAUUAAUGUUUGACUCUAAAGUGUCACUUCAUAGAAUAAAAAUAGUUUCCCCUCAUGUUGGUCUGUGUAUGAUUUUAUGGUUCAUAUUAGGUUUUCUAAAAAAUAUACAGUGCAUCUCUAAAGGUUCCAAAGUAUUUAUUUUCUUCCUUAAACUUCCACAGAAGCACCGUGGAAUUUUCCAAAUAACCUUUUAGUGAGUAGUUAAAAUAUUUUUUUCUUAGUGUGAAUGUUUAUAUACAUAUAUAUAUAUAUAUAUAUAUAUAUAUAUAUAUAUAUAUAUAUAUAUAUAUAUAUAUAUAUAUAAUAAAAUAUAAUGUUCAAAAAUGUAAAUAUGUUCAAAACUGAC